RNAcentral lists this ribosomal RNA (454 nucleotides) under uncultured bacterium. RNAcentral's name for it is "bacterial SSU rRNA". It matches the Rfam family "Bacterial small subunit ribosomal RNA", at positions 340 to 786 of the family's 1533-position model. The record is from RNAcentral.
UACGGAAGGCAGCAGUGGGGAAUAUUGCACAAUGGGCGCAAGCCUGAUGCAGCCAUGCCGCGUGUAUGAAGAAGGCCUUCGGGUUGUAAAGUACUUUCAGUCGUGAGGAAGGUGUUAAGGUUAAUAACCUUAGCAAUUGACGUUAGCGACAGAAGAAGCACCGGCUAACUCCGUGCCAGCAGCCGCGGUAAUACGGAGGGUGCGAGCGUUAAUCGGAAUUACUGGGCGUAAAGGGCACGCAGGCGGUUAAUUAAGUUGGAUGUGAAAUCCCCGGGCUUAACCUGGGAAUGGCAUUCAAGACUGGUUAGCUAGAGUCUUGUAGAGGGGGUAGAAUUCCAUGUGUAGCGGUGAAAUGCGUAGAGAUGUGGAGGAAAUACCGGUGGCGAAAGGCGGCCCCUGGACAAAGACUGACGCUCAUGUGCGAAAGCAUGGGGAGCAAACAGGAUUAGAUACC